AGAUUGAACGCUGGCGGCAUGCUUUACACAUGCAAGUCGAACGGUAACGCGGGGGCAACCCUGGCGACGAGUGGCGAACGGGUGAGUAAUACAUCGGAACAUGUCCUGGAGUGGGGGAUAGCUCGGCGAAAGCCGGAUUAAUACCGCAUACGCUCUGAGGAGGAAAGCGGGGGACUCGUAAGGGCCUCGCGCUGCGGGAGUGGCCGAUGUCGGAUUAGCUAGUUGGUGAGGUAAAGGCUCACCAAGGCGACGAUCCGUAGCUGGUCUGAGAGGAUGAUCAGCCACACUGGGACUGAGACACGGCCCAGACCUCCGUACGGGAGGCAGCGAGUGGGGUAAUUUUGGACAAGUGGGGGCAACCCUGACUCCAGCCAUGCCGCGUGAGUAGAAGAAGGCCGUUGGUUAGUAAAGCUCGUUACGGACGGACGUAAGUGGUUACGGUGAAC
RNAcentral lists this ribosomal RNA (446 nucleotides) under uncultured soil bacterium. Its description in RNAcentral is "bacterial SSU rRNA". It matches the Rfam family "Bacterial small subunit ribosomal RNA", at positions 26 to 466 of the family's 1533-position model. The record is from RNAcentral.